GUAGUGCGUCGCGGUGUCCUGCUGUGCGCGCGGCGGCUCCGCCGGGCGUUGGGCUCGGCUGCCGGAUACAGCUGGGUUCCGCCCGCGCUUUCCUUGCCCCAGGUUCGCUUUGUCUGUGCCGCCACAAGUCACUGCAAUCAAUGGUAGCUGCAGAUACUCAGUACCUUUGAAGAUCCAGCCAUAAAUGAGUUGCUUAAAGUGGUACUCCAAGUCUGGAGCAGAACUAAAAAUACAAAGCAGAUAUCCCGACUUCCAGUCUUUUUAGGGUCACUCAGCCCAGAUACAAGUGAAAUUCUCCUCUGGUGGUGAUAACAGUGAUGCUACUCAAUGAACUAUAACAAGGGCUCUAAAUGCAUCUCCUGUAGCAUACCACAGUGAUUUGCAAAAGUGGGAAUAAAUCAAAGCAGUGAAGAGAUGCCACAUUGAGCCAGAAGCUAAAUGUUACAUCUUGUUGCAUGAAGUAAGGGAGAACAGAUCCUGUUUUUCUGGUAGCACAAUAGCUUUGUGCUUGUUACCUCAGAUCCAGCCCCAUUAAAACAAUCAUUCAGAAUCUA
Molecule: long non-coding RNA, 554 nt
Organism: Mauremys reevesii (Reeves's turtle)
Lineage: Eukaryota; Metazoa; Chordata; Testudines; Geoemydidae
Exons: 3
Source: RefSeq, a predicted model, not a curated record